UUGCCUUCCCGCUGCCGAUGCCACACUCUACCAAGCCCAACAUGGCACGUUCGUCCCAUCUCGUCGUUUCCACCGCCACCGCUCUGCUCCUCCUCCUCCUGUCGACGUGCUCCUGCCGCGCGGCGAGCAGCAGCGGCAAGAACCCGACCGCCGUGGUGCUGCCGGUGCGCAAGGACGGCGCGACGAGUCAGUACGUGACCAGCUUCCGGCAGCGCACUCCGCAGACGCCCGUGACGGCGGUGCUCGACCUGGGCGGCGCCACACUCUGGGUGGACUGCGACCCCGGGUCGUACGCGUCCUCCUCCUACGCCCGCGUGCCGUGCGCGUCCAAGCCGUGCCGCCUGGCCCGCACGGCCGCCUGCGCCACCAGCUGCGUCGGCGCGCCGUCGCCCGGGUGCCUCAACGACACCUGCGGCGGGUUUCCCGAGAACACCGUCACGCGCGUCGCCACCGGCGGCAACCUCAUCACCGACGUGCUGUCGGUGCCCACCACCUUCCGCCCGACGCCGGGGCCGCUCGCCGCCGCGCCGGCGUUCCUGUUCGCCUGCGGCGCCAAGUUCCUCACCGAGGGCCUCGCGUCUGGCGCCGCCGGCAUGGCGUCGCUCAGCCGCGCCCGCUUCGCGCUCCCCACGCAGCUCGCCGCCACGUUCCGCUUCUCGCCCAAGUUCGCGCUCUGCCUCCCCUCGACCACCUCGGCCGGGGUCGUCGUCUUCGGGGACGCGCCCUACGCGUUCCAGCCCGGGGUGGACCUCUCCGCCGGCUCGCUCCUCUACACGCCGCUCCUCGUCAACAACGUGAGCACCGCGGGGGUCUCGAGCAAGGGGGACAAAUCAACGGAGUACUUCAUCGGCGUGACGGCCAUCAAGGUGAACGGCCGUGUUGUGCCGCUCAACGCCACGCUGCUGGGAAUCGACAAGCAGGGCGUGGGAGGCACCAAGCUGAGCACGGUCGCGCCCUACACCGUGCUGGAAACCUCCAUCCACAGGGCCGUCACGGACGCGUUCGCGGCGGAGACGGCCAUGAUCCCUCGCGUGGCCGCCGUGGCGCCGUUCAGGCUCUGCUACGACGGGAGCAAGGUGGGGAGCACCCGCGUGGGCCCGGCCGUGCCCACCCUCGAGCUGGUGCUGCAGAACGAGGCCACGUCGUGGGUGGUGUUCGGGGCCAACUCGAUGGUGCCAGCCAAGGGCGGCGCGCUCUGCCUCGGCGUGGUAGACGGCGGCCCCGCCCCGCGGACGUCGGUGGUGGUCGGCGGCCUCAUGAUGGAGGACAACCUGCUGGAGUUCGACCUGCAGCGGUCGCGCCUCGGGUUCAGCUCAUCCCUGCUCUUCCGGCAGACAACUUGCAACAACUUCCGCCUCGGGUAGGAAUGGCUGCAGCCUGUACCUGUAAGUACGUCCGAGUUCGUUUCUUUGUGUAUCUCGGCCCUGGGUUUUGACUACUUGAAUAAUCAAUAAGUUUAUGUGGCAGCUAAGUGGUAAUGCACAGACGCACAGUCAACUCAAGCAGAAGAUUUGCUCUGGAAUUAGACCUUCAGGUCAAUACAAUUGGCUUGGACUCAAGUUGGGCGAGGUUGCACUAUGCCGGCUUCAGAUCGGCUACAAUAUUUCAAAUGUUAAAUUUGACUUUGAGGGGAACACCGCGACUGAGUUGGAAUGAGAGGUA
Molecule: RNA transcript, 1662 nt
Organism: Lolium rigidum
Lineage: Eukaryota; Viridiplantae; Streptophyta; Magnoliopsida; Poales; Poaceae
Gene name: probable aspartic proteinase GIP2
Exons: 3
Source: RefSeq, a predicted model, not a curated record